GAUGAAGAACGUAGUGAAAUGCGAUAAGUAAUGCGAAUUGCAGAAUUCAGUGAAUCAUCGAGUCUUUGAACGCACAUUGCGCCCCCUGGUAUUCCGGGGGGCAUGCCUGUCCGAGCGUCAUUGCUGCCCUCAAGCACGGCUUGUGUGUUGGGCCUCCGUCCUCCUCCCGGGGGACGGGCCCGAAAGGCAGCGGCGGCACCGCGUCCGGUCCUCGAGCGUAUGGGGCUUCGUCACCCGCUCUUGUAGGCCCGGCCGGCGCUUGCCGACACAUCAAUCUUUUUUCCAGGUUGACCUCGGAUCAGGUAGGGAUACCCGCUGAACUUAAGCAUAUCAAUAAGCGGAGGA
This 345-nucleotide unclassified non-coding RNA is filed under the name soil metagenome. RNAcentral's name for it is "partial contains 5.8S ribosomal RNA, internal transcribed spacer 2, and large subunit ribosomal RNA". The stretch from base 1 to 120 matches the Rfam family "5.8S ribosomal RNA", at positions 35 to 154 of the family's 154-position model. The record is from RNAcentral.